RNAcentral lists this long non-coding RNA (1016 nucleotides) under Cyanistes caeruleus (blue tit). RNAcentral's name for it is "lncRNA (ENSCCEG00000009886.1)". Lineage: Eukaryota; Metazoa; Chordata; Aves; Passeriformes; Paridae. The record is from RNAcentral.
AUCACAUCUACAGUGUUUCUCAGACACUGGACCCACGUGUAUCAUUUGCAUGAGAUAUCUUAAUAUAAGUAUUUCACAGCAUAUUUCCUCCUCACAGCUGUACUUCUGAAGUAGCACCCACACCUUCUGUUCUUGAAAAAUUACACUUUCUCCCCAAGAGCUGAAUUCUGCAAAUAGGAAAAUUCUACCCACUCCCUCCCUCUCCUCAGUUUUCAGGCAGAAUCCAAAGCCUGACUAUACUGAUAAAAAUCCAUUCAUUGACUCUUGGGGCUUCUAACUGUACAACAUCUUAUCCAGUCCCUGGUCAAUAUGUUACUGUGCUCCUCACACAGGGGACCUGCCAGAUUAGAUAUUCAGGAUUCAUGGCACUCAAAAAUAACCUGAUGGGUAAAUCAGGAGGCAGACCCCAUAUUCAUUCCAGUUAAAAUCCUGCUCAAUUUUGCAUACACUUCUACUCACAGAAAUUAUGCCGUAGUGAACUCUACGACAAAAAUCUUAAAUCUUUCCUUCAAGAGUUAAUGUGCUGGAAGAACUGGUGUGAAGACAGGAGCAAGCAGAAGCAGAGUCUGUCCCUGUUAUCUAAAAUCAGGGAAGGAAUUGAGCUGAAGAGAAAACCAGGAAAGGUUGAGAUGAACCUCCAAGACCGUUUCAAGCCUGCUGAGCACCCAGCAAUGGACAAAGCCUCAGUGGAGUACACAGAGCUCUGCUAAAUAUUUCUUCUCUUUCCUGCAGAAUGGCCUGCUUGGUAUGAAAUAUAACAGGCUGAAGGCCACGAGACCACUUUGCCACUUUAGAAUAUAAUUAGUUUAUCAUCACUCAGCAAAGCCAGCUGCUUCCAUACAAACCACUGCCACUCCCCCAAACCCCCACACACCCCAAUUUGCCCAGGAGGACCAAACUGUGCCAACAUUUCUGAAAUCAUUGUCAGGCACUAGAAGCUCACACCCUGUGUGUCAUCCAAGGCCUGUCUCUCCAUCAGUAUAAUAAAUACCUCAUGGGAAGUGUUCUGCUGCUCA